Molecule: non-coding RNA, 46 nt
Organism: Stegodyphus mimosarum
Lineage: Eukaryota; Metazoa; Arthropoda; Arachnida; Araneae; Eresidae
Source: Rfam
AAAACGGCCCUUUUAAGGGCCAUUACUUUUUUCAGUUUUGUAAAUU